This 447-nucleotide ribosomal RNA is filed under the name Boophis andrangoloaka. RNAcentral's name for it is "partial 16S ribosomal RNA". The record is from RNAcentral. Lineage: Eukaryota; Metazoa; Chordata; Amphibia; Anura; Mantellidae.
AGAGUGGGAAAAUUCUUAAGUAGAGGUGACAGACCUAUCGAACUUAGAGAUAGCUGGUUUUUUAAGAAAAGAAUUUUAGUUCAACUUUAAAUUUUCAUAUUAAAUAAAAAUGGUCUUAAAUUUAAAAGUUACUCAAAUAAGGCACAGCUUAUUUGAAACAGGACACAACCUAAGGUUUAGGGUAAGACAACAGAAUUUUAACAAGUGGGCCUAAAAGCAGCCAUCUUCAAAAAAGCGUCAAAGCUUAGCGAUUUUAACUUAUUUAAUACCUCCCCUCGUUUCUAACCCACACACACUAUUAAAAAACUCCAUAAAAUUAUGGAAGCUAUUAUGCUAGAACAAGUAACAAGAAAUAGACUUUCUCCAAAAUGUAGGCUUAAGCCAUAAUAGACACUCUACUGGCAAUUAACGUGCAUAAACCCCUUGUAAUAACCCUAACAAGAAAAC